This 424-nucleotide ribosomal RNA is filed under the name uncultured bacterium. Its description in RNAcentral is "partial 16S ribosomal RNA". It matches the Rfam family "Bacterial small subunit ribosomal RNA", at positions 360 to 776 of the family's 1533-position model. The record is from RNAcentral.
AAUUUUGGACAAUGGGGGAAACCCUGAUCCAGCCAUCCCGCGUGUAUGAUGAAGGCCUUCGGGUUGUAAAGUACUUUUGGCAGAGAAGAAAAGGUAUCUCCUAAUACGAGAUACUGCUGACGGUAUCUGCAGAAUAAGCACCGGUUAACUACGUGCCAGCAGCCGCGGUAAUACGUAGGGUGCAAACGUUAAUCGGAAUUACUGGGUGUAAAGCGUGGGUAAGGCGGUCGGAAAAGAAGGAGUGAAAUCCCAAGGGUCCACCUUUGAACCGCAAUUUUAACUGGCGGGGUAGAGGAUGUUAGAGGGGGGUAGAAUUCCAAGGUGAACAAGGGAAAGCGUAGAAAAGGUGAGGAAUUCCGAUGGCGAAGGGAGCCCCCUUGGAUAAUACUGACGCUCAGACACGAAAGCGUGGGGAGCAAACAGG